GAUGAACGCUGGCGGCGUGCCUAAUACAUGCAAGUAGAACGCUGAAGGAGGAGCUUGCUCUUUUGGAUGAGUUGCGAACGGGUGAGUAACGCGUAGGUAACCUGCCUGUUAGCGGGGGAUAACGAUUGGAAACGAUAGCUAAUACCGCAUGUCAACAGUUAUUGCAUGAUAAUUGUUUAAAAGGGGCAACUUCUCCACUACCAGAGGUACCUGCGUUGUAUUAGCUGGUUGGUGUUGUAACGGCUUACUCAGGCGACGAGACAUAGCCGACCCGAGAGGGUGGUCGGCCACACUGGGGCUGAAACGCGGCCCAGACUCCUGAGGGAGGCAGCAGUAGGGAAUCUGCGGCAAUGGACGGAAGUCUGACCGAGCAACGGCGCGUGAGUGGAGGAGGUUUUCGGAUCGUAAAGCUCUGUUGUAAGAGAAGAACGGGUGUGAGAGUGGACAGUUCACGUUGUGACGGUACCUUAACAGAAAGGGACGGCUAACUACGUG
RNAcentral lists this ribosomal RNA (495 nucleotides) under uncultured bacterium. RNAcentral describes it as "partial 16S ribosomal RNA". It matches the Rfam family "Bacterial small subunit ribosomal RNA", at positions 28 to 507 of the family's 1533-position model. The record is from RNAcentral.